Erinaceus europaeus (western European hedgehog) is the source of this 161-nucleotide non-coding RNA. The record is from Rfam. NCBI's taxonomy places the organism in Eukaryota, Metazoa, Chordata, Mammalia, Eulipotyphla, Erinaceidae.
AUAUUUACCUGGCAGGGGAGAUACCAUGAUCUCAAAGGUGGUUUUCUAGGGUGAGGCUUAUCCAUUGCACUCCAGAUGUGCUGACCCCUGUGAUGUUCCCAAAUGUGGGAAUUCGACUCCAUAAUUUUGGUAAUGGGAGACUGCAUUCGGGCUCUCACCUA